Molecule: ribosomal RNA, 400 nt
Filed under: uncultured bacterium
Lineage: Bacteria
Description: bacterial SSU rRNA
Rfam family: Bacterial small subunit ribosomal RNA
Source: RNAcentral
UAAUACGUAGGAUCCGAGCGUUGUCCGGAAUUACUGGGUGUAAAGGGCGUGUAGGUGGAUCUCUAAGUCGGUGGUGAAAUCCUGCAGCUUAACUGCAGAACUGCCGUCGAUACUGGGGAUCUUGAGUGCGGCAGAGGGAGAUGGAAUUCAUGGUGUAGCGGUGAAAUGUGUAGAUAUCAUGAAGAACACCGGUAGCGAAGGCGGUCUCCUGGUCCGCAACUGACACUGAGGCGCGAAAGCGUGGGGAGCAAACAGGAUUAGAUACCCUGGUAGUCCACGCCUUAAACGAUGGGUACUAGGUGCUGGUCCCGCUCGGUACAUACGAUGUAUGUCUCGAGCGGGAUCAGUGCCAAAGCUAACGCAUUAAGUACCCCACCUGGGGAGUACGAUCGCAAGGUUG